CCUAACACAUGCMAGUCSAACSCGGUUACCCCGCAAGGGGUAACUGAGUGGCGAACGGGUGAGUAACMCGUGGGUGACCUGCCUUCGAGUGGGGGAUAACGUUCCGAAAGGGACGCUAAUACCGCAUGAAAUCCUGCCUUUGAAGAGGUGGCGAUUAAAGCUGGGGAUCGUAAGACCUGGCGCUUGAAGAGGGGCCCGCGUCCGAUUAGCUAGUUGGUGGGGUAACGGCCUACCAAGGCGACGAUCGGUAGCCGGCCUGAGAGGGCGGACGGCCACACUGGGACUGAGACACGGCCCAGACUCCUACGGGAGGCAGCAGUGGGGAAUUGUUCGCAAUGGGCGAAAGCCUGACGACGCAACGSCGSGKGGRGGACGAAGAUUUUCGGAUCGUAAACUCCUUUCGAUCGGGACGAACGACUGGUGAUCUAACACAUCAUCAGAGUGACGGUACCGAGAGAAGAAGCCCCGGCUAACUCCGUGCCAGCAGCCGCGGUAAUACGGGGGGGGCAAGCGUUGUUCGGAAUUACUGGGCGUAAAGGGCGCGUAGGCGGCCUGCUAAGUCACACGUGAAAUCCCUCGGCUCAACCGGGGAACUGCAUGUGAUACUGGCGGGCUUGAAUUCGGGAGAGGGAUGUGGAAUUCCAGGUGUAGCGGUGAAAUGCGUAGAUAUCUGGAGGAACWCCGGUGGCGAAGGCGGCAUCCUGGACCGAGAUUGACGCUGAGGCGCGAAAGCUAGGGUAGCAACGGGAUUAGAUACCCCGGUAGUCCUAGCCCCUAAACGAUGAGUGCUUGGUGUGGCGGGUAUCGAUCYCUGGCCGUGCCGARCUAACGCAUUARCACUCCGCCUGGGGAGUACGGUCGCAAGGYUGAAACUCAAGAAAUUGACGGG
RNAcentral lists this ribosomal RNA (889 nucleotides) under uncultured bacterium. RNAcentral's name for it is "bacterial SSU rRNA". It matches the Rfam family "Bacterial small subunit ribosomal RNA", at positions 47 to 917 of the family's 1533-position model. The record is from RNAcentral.